AAUUUUUUUUCUAAUGCGGUGUUUAGUGUCAAUAAUACUAAGGUUUGUACACAUUUUUUUAACAUAAAGACUACAAUAUUUACUAAUUGCUUUAUUAAUGUUUGAUAAUAUCGUAAAAGUGAAUAGAAAUUAUACAAGUAUAAUAGGAAAUGCUGGAUAAAAAGUACUUUGAAAAUACAGGGGUAAUGAUAGAAUAUUUAAUUGUCGGUAAUUCAUUAGCAUUAAUAUGUAAUCAUGUCUAUCUUUUAGAAAACUAUAAUUUUCAGAUUAUUUCAAAAUCAAAUAAGUGUAUCUUGUUUUAACUAUUUUACGAAUAUUGUUGAAAUUGAACACGUAUUUAAAUUGAAAACAAAAUUUCAGAAGAAGAAAAAAAUCUGUCAUUGAAAAUAUGUUCUUUGUAGGAAAUAUUUUAAUAUAAAUGAAAAAUUUACCUUUACGAAUUAUACAACCGUAAUACACUUAAGUUAAUUAGAAACAGAACAUGUUGAUGCAGUUUAUAUCAUACUAACUGUUGAAGGAUAUUUGUUGCCCACACUAUUUAUUUAUACUUAUUCUUUCUAAUUUUGUAAUAUUUAAUAUUUGUGUUAAUUUGUGCACUUUUUAUGUCUGAUAUAUCCGUUUGAAUUGCUUAACAUUGUCAUUUCGGGGCCUUUAUAGCCGACUAUGCGGUAUAUGCAUUUUUGAAAGCUGUACGAUGACCUAAGGUUGUUAAUUUUUGUGUCAUUUUGGUUCUUGUGGAGAGUUGUCUCAUUGACAAUCAUAACAUAUCUUUUUCAUAGUUCAGUGACAAUGGACUUCAUACGAAACCCCCAAAUAAAUAUGUGAACUAAAAUUCAAAUCAUAGAAGACUAACAAAGGCUCCUGACUAAAAAAUGCGGUGAGGUUAAAAAUGUUUAGGAAGAUCUCAACCACCUCCCCUAUACCUCUAGCCAAUAUAUAAAAAUACAUAUUACGACUUUACAAUCACAGUUCACUAAUAUUAGAGUGUACAAAAUAGUAAAAGUAGCGGGACAUUAGAAUAUCCUGCUAUGCAUUUAUCAUACGCAAAUCCGAAAACAUAUUCAGUUAAAUAUAACAGUUGGAAGUAAGACACAGUCAGUACCAAAUCAACACAAGGAGAAGCUUUUUAUAUUCUCUAUCUAAACUGCAUAAGGAAAGGGGGAAAUUUUAUAAAAUUUUGUAUCACUGAAUAACCUGUAUUUCAACAAAAACGUAUAUCUCAUAUAUCCCAAUGAACUUUAAAUUCAAGAUACUACUGAUUUUAGAAAGAGUUCUUCAUAUCUUGAUCUUUUCCUCAAUAUUUACACAGAUGGACGACUUCGCACUUAAAUCUAUGAAAUACAGGACGAUUUCAACUUCCCAAUUAUCAAUUUAUAAAUUUUUCAUUAGUAACAUACCUUUUUUUCCAUCGUAUGUGUUUACAUAUCUCGAUGUAUACGUUAUUGCUCGUACACUUUACGAUAUUCAUACAACGGAGUGUGCCUUACACAGAAACUGCUACAACAAAGUUAUGAGAACGAAAGACUAAAAAUGACACUCCGUAAAUGUUAUGGACACCAUCACGAAUUCGUUGAUCCACACAAUGUGUAUAUGUCUAAACUAACUAUGGAACUUUCUUACCACGUUUUAGAUUGUGGUUGACCAUUUAGGUCGUCUGGUGUUUAAAGUACCAAAUAUGACCUUUUCCUGAUUAUGACUGUUUUGCUGAGUGUGAAUUCGCAUUGCUAUAAGACCUGUUAUGGUAUUUGUUUGCCCAACAAGCAUGUACUAGUAUUUAGUUAAGAUAUUGUAUUUGUAAUUCUGAUCAGUUGGUUUUAAAUAUCUUUUCGUUUGUAGUUGUAAUUUAAUUUUGUUUCUUUUCUAUUAGUAUGCAAGAGUAAAUAUAAUUAAUCACAUUUAUAUGAUUUAGUUGAAAGCAACUAUAUGUACACGAUAAUUUGUUUUACAGUUUGAUUUAGAAGAAAUACCGAGAUAGCUAUAUAAAAUAAUUAAUUAAUUCUAUAUUAAUAGUCUUGUAAUUGUUAUGAAAUACAUCAAAUAAAACAAUACCAUAUCUUAUCUACAAUUGUAGAUGUACAGAUGGGUGCGGUCCUAACCUUGACAAACGUUAACUUAGAGUUAACUUGUUGACUGCUUUUUAAGUUAACUUGAGAAUUUUUAAGCAGACCAGCAAGUUAACUUCGUCUACGGUGGACCAGACCUACGGUCCGCUUUUUUAUGACUGCUGCAGACCUAUCGACGGGUCUGUUCCAGACCAGACCUGUGGACAAGUCUUGCUUGACCAGUCCUGGGGACAGGUCUGCCCCAGACCAGACCUGUGGACAGUCUGCUCCUGACCAGACCGUGGAAGUCUGCUUCUGACCAGACCUGUGGACAAGUCUGCUAUUGACCAGACCUGGGGACAUGUCUGCUUAUGAAAUGUUAUCGUUUUUGCGACUUUUCAUAUCAGACUUGAGCUUUAUUAAAAUAUAUAUGUAUAAACAACAAUCGCAUUGUUCUUCCCAAGAAGGCCUCUGAUAGCAAAUUUCUUUACUCGCUAUACUCUACUAGACAUUAUUAAUAACAACACAAUUCUUUCUUUUUUUAUUUUUAUAUAUUCUUAUAAACAUUAGUCAAUUACAUAGAGCUAUCAUAUUUUUUUAAUUAGAAGGCGGACAGAAAUUAGGGUUAUCCAACGCAUCGGAACAACAUUCGUAUAUCAUGGGAUAUCAACAUCUAUGUCGACGUUACUUCGUUCCCCGUUUUUUACCUGUCCCUUCAUAGUUUUUACUUUACGCAUUUAUACAUGCAUGGAUAUUUCAUUGUUUUUCUACUUAUUUGGAUUGGAUUUACUAUUCUUUUUCCGCAGAAUAUUCUAAACAAAAUUGUACAGUUGUACAGUGUCCGGAUAUGUACGAUGUGGUAAAACUACCAAACAAUCUCGUUAUUAAUCGUCAGAUUUGUCGAGAGAUUUGUGCACAUGAAUGAAAUAGUUGUCACUUGACGUUUAACUCAAACAAAAUCAAUCAACCGAUUAUAAUAGAUUACACAGUAUACUAUUAACAGAAGAGAACCUCAAAUACAUUUUUUAUUAAAAAUCACAAAUGAAUUCAGACAUGUCAGUGUUGUACACAUGUACUUGGAUGAUGCGGCCUAAUAGAUUCGUUUUACACACCCUAGUGACUGUUCAAUAUUAUGAAUACAGAGAUGAAACGCUGACAUUCUCAAUGUAUGCGGGAAAAAAAUUGCAUUAAUUGUUUUCCUUAUUGCUUACAUUUGCCGUCCUACUAACAUGUUCACAGGAGUGCCAGGAGAAGACAUAAUUAGGCGCCAUCCCAACAGCAGUCAUUUAUUUUAUACAUUGAAUCCAGACAUCAAAAAUAUGGCUGAUUUACUAUGCGGACAUAUAUAGAUUUUUAAAUUAAAGUGCACAUAUGCAGGUCAGUUUUUGGUCGAUGCAGUCAAAUAAUUUUGUUGAUAAAGUCAGCAUGAGGUAUCAAAUCUACUGACAUUUUGUUACGUAUCAAUAUUUUGAAUAAAAGGAGGACAUGCUGAAAUCCAAAAUUAAUGAGAACAAAAAUUUGUUGUUAUUAUAUUGCAAUAUUACUGUCCAUUAUAUUAUACAUUGAAUCCUGGCAUAAAAAAUAUGGCUUAUUUACUAUGCGGGUAUACAUGGUAUAUAGAUUUAAAAAUUUAAAGUGCACAUAUGGUCAGUUUUGGUCAAUACGGUCAAAUCAUUUUGUUGUACAAGUCAGCAUGAGGUAUCAAAACUACUGAAAUUUUGUUACGUAUCAAUAUUUUGAAUAAAAAGAGGACAUGCUGGCACCCUAAAUUUAUGCGAACAAAAAUGUGUUGUUUAUGUUGUUAUUGUAUUGCAAUAUAGCUGUCCAUUGUAUUAUACAUUGAAUCCUGACAUAAAAAAAUAUGUUAUAGUUAUUGACCAAACAAGUCGGUAUAUGUCAUUUAAUCUGCACAGCACGAGAUGACCCAAUAACCCGAACGACGUAGGAGUUCGGGUUAUUGGGUCAUCUCGUGCUGUGCAGAUUGAAUUACAUAUACCGAUUUAAUUGGGCAAUAACUGUUUUAACACAUGACGCAAUCAAUUUACGUGAACGUUUUAGAAAUGUGGACGUUAUUCUCCAAUCCACGGGUCCUAGGAAAGUUUCUUGUAGGGUAAAGAAAGGGGGGGUGCGUCAAGGAUGCCCUGCUCUUCCAUGAUCUUCGUGAUCGCAGUUGAAAUCAUGGCAUGUAAAUUAAGGAAUGAUUAUAACAUUAAAGGUUUUGAAAUCAAACUUGACCAUUCAAAACAUAAUCUGAAAAUUUCCCAGUUAGCAGAUGAUACCACUCUGUUUCUUAAAUCAAAAAAUGAAAUUAUAGCAGCAUUAAACGUUAUUGAAAUAUUUGGCACAUUUUCUGGUCUUAAAUUAAAUAAAAACAAAACGGAAGGCAUUUGGAUAGGAAAACUGAAAAAUUGUAAAAAUAAAGUAGAUAAUAUAAAAUUCACAGAUAAACCCGUUAAAGUGUUAGGAUUAUAUUUCGGCACAAAUAAAGCAGAAUGCGCAAAACUAAAUUGGGAAAAUAAGUUUGAAAAAGCAAAAAAAAAACUCAUGAAAUCUUGGGAAAAAAAGACAUCUUACUAUCAUCGGUAAAAUUCUUAUAAUCAAAUCACUUAUUAUUCCACAAUUCACAUACUUAGCAAGUAUGACAGUCAUAAAUAAAACGUAUACAGCGACAAUCUAGAAAGAGAAAUUUUUAAUUUUAUUGGAACGGUAAACAAGACAAAUUAAAAAAGGUCAACUCUCAUAGCAGAUUACAAGUACAGGAGGACUCAAUAUGAUAGAUAUCGACAGCUACUUUAAUACACUUAAAAUUAAAUGGGUAUCAAGAUUAAUGGAGUCAAAACAUGAAAAUUGGUCAAUUAUUCCGAGAUUCUUUUUUGAUAAAUACGGAAAAAACUUCCUUAUCUUCAAAAUGAAUUUAGAACUUAAAAAUUUAAAAAAAUAAAACUACUUAAAAUUACAACUGAAUUACCAGAAUUUUAUCUGGAUAUUGUAAAAUGCUGGAUACGGAAAGGUGGAGGUCAAACUAAAUCACCCACUAACUUUAGAGAAAUACGCAAAGAAAUUAUAUGGGGGUAAUAAAAACAUAAAAAUAAAAAAUAAACCAUUAUUGAUGCUCAAUUGGAUCAAAAGCAAUAUAAUCUAUAUUAAUGAAAUUAUUGACGAAAACGGUCAAAUCAACGAAAAGACAAUACUGCGUAAGUUAGAAAUAAAACACAACUGGAUAGCCGAACUAUCAAUACUAAAAAAAAGCUAUUCCAAAAUGUUGGAUAGAUAUCCUGAAAACAAAUAAAUCUGUUAAAACCCGAGUUAGUAUUAACGAAAAAAUAAUCAGAAUGAAUGAAACAGAAAUAAAUUUAGCAGAUCUUGAUAACAAAACCGUCUAUCAAUAUUUUAAAAAAACAAAAUAACUCCAAACAUUGGAAUAAUAAAAUGGCAAAGAAUAUUAGGCGUAAAACCAUUACAAAUUAGACACUCCUUAUCAUUUACAAACAAAGAAAUAUACACAAACAAACUUAAAGUUUAUAAAUGGAAAUUAUUUAGCUAUAUAUUGCCGAACACAGAAAAUCUUUUCAAAUGGAAAAUAUCUAAUACGUCAGAGUGUGCUUUAUGCAAAUGCACAGACAAUUAUCAACAUUUUUUUAUCGAUUGUGAAUUUUUAAAAGACUUGUGGAAUAAAAUAACAGAAAAAAUGAAUAUCAUAAACUUCUGUAAAGAAAAUAAACUUAAUAGAUAUAGUCUUUGGAUAUAAAAUAGGAGACCGACAUUAUAAUGACAUAAAUCUUAUUAUAACGUUGAUAGGUUUCUCAAUUUACAAAUCAUUUUACACGUCGGAACAAAGAACAAAAUCGCCGACAUAUACAACAUCUUCAAAAAAGAAUUUGAAUUAUAUUUUGAAGUUAACAGAUGUGUAAAAAAAACGUAAAAGUAAUCUAAUUCGCAAAUUUCAAAAAUUCUUUUAAACUGUUAGAUUAUAAAUACGUAAACAUAAUAUUCAUAUAUAGUUUCGAAACAUAACGCACAAAAUAUUUACUCAAGUAUCUUUAAAAUGAAAUACUAUAAAUGCAAAAUUAAAUUUGACACCUCAGCGGCCGUAAGAAAAACCCUUAAAAUUACACCUAUUCUAAAACUUUAAAUCAAAACACAAUAAGGUACAUAUUUUGGGAAAGACAAUAAAUUCAUAUUUCGAUAAUAAUAAACAUAUAAUAUCUUACCUUUUGAUAAUAAUCCAAAAGCGAAAAGAUUAACACAUGAAACUAUAUUAUCCUUCAAUCAUGUCAGGUUACGAUUAUUUGAUCACACUAAGACCUUGCACGAUUUUUCUAAACGAGCAAUAUGUGUCAGGUAGAGACUGUAUCCAAUUAUGAGAAUGUAAAAGUAAAGGUCAAAUACGGAACAAAAUUACGUAAUUAUAAAUGUGAAUGAUUUGCAAUUAUAUAUGCUUAUAUUGUAUUUUUUUUCUAUUUGUAAUUGACUGUAUAUUGUAAUUUUUUCUAUUUGUAAUUGACUAGCAAUUAGUUGGAUUAUAUUAUAAUUUAUAAAUGUAUGUUUUACAGACAAAUUAAACUAACAAGUACUAACAAAAUUUAAUAUAUACUACUAACGGUUAACGAGGCCGGGAUAAGGUACCGGUAUUUGAUGUAUCCACUAACAAAUGUGAAAAACUAUCAAUAAAACAUGAUUUACCUUUAAAAAAAAAAAAAAAAAGAAAGGGGGAAUACGAAUUUGGUAAGUUUUAAAUAAUUUUUUUUAUAUUUAGACUCAUUCUAAAAUAGCGAUUUAAUGGUAUAUGUUCUUAAAUCAUUGUUAUUAUUCCCAUUUUUAUUUAAUUGGUGACGAUAAGCUUUGAUAAAUUGUGUUAUUUCAAAUCUGUAUGAAAAAAAAAUUAACUGCAAGGGUUGUUGAGUUUAAAUAAGACUAAUUGCUUUUGAAUAUCUUUCCCUCAAUGAUAUGCUUAAAAAAGAACCGAGGAAGAUGUUGUAAUACCUAAAUUUAAAAGGUUAAAUAAACAGAAAAUAUGUUUCUCUUUCAAAACCUUUUACUCCCCCGCAAUUCCCCCCCCCCAUUUCUUUUAAUCUACUGUAUUACUUUUUAGGACACGUCCAUCUAAAUGAAGUCUGAUUGAUCUCCAGCUAAUCACCCAGUUUUAAAACAAACUUUAAUAUGGUCCUCAUUAAAUCCGAUCCAAAUAUAGUCUCUUUAUAGGAAUAAUUAUUCAAAAAGUCGUUCAGAUGGCGGAUUUGGGGGUGGGGGCGAACGGGCCGUUUACCCAUGGAUUGGACAAAGUACGGUGUUUUAGCUUAAAAUGGUCAAUAUUGUCUUUAGUCUCGCUACACUCGGUGAUAUUUAUGCCCCACCUACGAUAGUAAAGGGGCAUAUGUUUUCUGGUCUGUGCCUCCGUUCUUCCGUCCGUCCGUUCGUCGUACGUCUGUGCGUCGUUUGUCCGUCCGCUUCAGGUUAAAGUUUUUGGUCAAGGUAGUGUUGAAGAAGUUGAAGUCCAAUCAACUUGAAACUUAGUACAUAUGUUCCUCAUGAUAUUAUCUUUCUAAUUUUACUGCCAAAUUAAAGUGUUGACCCCAAUUUCACGGUCCACUAACAUAGAAAUGAUAGUGCGAGUGGGCAUUCGUGUACUUUGACACAUUCUUGUUUUUUUUUUUAAUUGAUAGGAAUAACGCCUUUCAAAAUCCGGGAACCGCCCUUAAGGUAAAAAUAGAUUUGAACUGUGCGGUUAUAUCUGAGGUAGUUAAUGCACACUUUGCUGUGCAUUAUCUAGAUUAUAGCACAGUAAGAACAAAGAGAUUUUACUCUUGCCAUGUGUUAAGGCUGAUUUACUAUGCUGGCAUAUAGAUUUACAAAUUAGAGUGCAAUAUGGUCAGUUUGGUUCUUUGGUCAAUGCGGUCAAAUUAUUUCAUUGUACAAGUCAUCAUGAGGUAUCAAAACUAUUGAAAUUUUGUUAUGUAUCAAUAUUUUGAAUAUAAGGAGGACAUGCUGGCACUCUAAAUUUAUGCGAAAACAAAACUUGUUGUUAUCAGCUGGUAUUGUUUGCAACAUUGCAAUCCAUUGUAUUAUAACAUGAAUCCUGACAUAAAAAAUAUGACUGAAUUACUAUGCGGUACAUAUGGUAUAUAAUUUACAAAUUUAAGUGCACAUAUGUCAGUUUUGGGAAGCGCUCAAAAUAUUUUGUUGUACAAGUCAGCAUAGGAUCAAAACACUGUAAUUUUGAUACGUAUCAAUAUCUUGAAUAAAAGGAGGACAUUUACCCUAAAAUGUAUGCGAACACAAAUGUGUUGUUAUUGUAUUGUAAUAUUGCUGUCCAUUGUAUUGACAUUGAAUCCUACACAAAAAAUAUGGCUGAUUUACUUACAGGUAUAUAACUUUACAAAUUAAAGUGUACAUAUGGUCAGUUUAGUUGGUCGGUCAAAUAUUUUGUUGUACAAGUCAGCAUGGUCAGCAUGAGGUAUCAAAACUACUGAAAUUUUGUUACGUAUCAAUAUUUUGAAUUAAAGGAGGACAUGCUGGCACCGUGAAUUUAUGCGAACACCAAAUUUGUUUAUUGUAUUGCAUAUUGCUUCCAUUGUAUUAUACAUUGAAUCCUGACAUAAAAAAUAUGGCUGAUUUACUAUGCGGGUAUAUAGAUUUACAAAUUAAAGUGCACAUAUGGUCAGUUUAAGUUGAUGCAGUCAACAAAAUUUUGUUGUACAAGUCAGCUAUGGUAACAUGAGGUAUCAAAAUACUGAAAUUUUGUUAACGUAUCAAUAUUUUGAAUUAAAGGAGGACAUGCUGGCACCGUGAAUUUAUGCGAACACAAAUUUGUUGUUAUUGUAUUGCAAUAUUCUUGUCCAUUGUAUAUAUUAUACAUUGAAUCCUGACAUAAAAAAUAUGGCUGAUUUACUAUGCGGGUAUAUAGAUUUACAAUUUAAAGUGCCACAUUAUGGUCAGUUUAAGUUGAUGCGGUCAAAUAAUUUUGCCGGACAAGUCAGCAUGAGUAUCAAAACUACUGUAAUUUUGUUACGUAUUAAUAUUUUUGAAUAAAAGGAUGACAUGCUGUCACCCUUAAUUUAUGCGAACAAAAUUUGUUGUUAUUGUAUACAAUAUGCUGUCCAUUGUAUUAUACAUUGAAUCCCUGACAUAAAAAAUAUGGCUGAAUAACUAUGCUGGUAUAUAGAUUGUUAGAAAUUAAAGUGCACAAAUUGUCAGUUUUAGUUGAUGCAGUCCAACAAUUUUUUGUACAAGUCAGCAUGAGUAUCAAAAACUACUGAAAUUUUGUUACGCAUCACAAUUUUGAAUAAAAGGAGGACAUGAAGGCACCCUUAAUUUAUGCGAACACAAAUUUGUUGUUAUUGUAUUGCAAUAUUGCUGUCCAUUGUAUUAUACAUUGAAUCCUGACAUAAAAAAUAUGGCUGAUUUACUAUGCUGUUAUAUAGAUUUAUGAAUAAAAGUGCUCACAUGGUCAGUUUUGGUUCAACACGGUCAAAUAAUUUUGUUGCACAAGUCAGCUAGAGGUAUCAAAACUACUGAAAUUUUGUUACGUAUCAAUAUUUUGAAUAAAUGGAGAACAUAUGCUGGCACCCUAAAUUUAUGCCAACAAAAAAUGUGUUAUUGUAUGGCAAUAUUGUUGUCCAUUGUAAUAUACAAUUAAUUGAAUCCUGACAUAACAAAUAUGGCUGAUUACUAUGUUGGUAUUAGAUUUACAAGUUAAAGUGCACAUAUGGUCAGUUUUAGUUGAUGCAGUCAAAUUAAUUUUGUUGUACAAGUCAGUAUGACGGUAUCAAAACUACUGAUAUUUUAAUAAAAGAGGACAUGCUGGUACCCUAAAUUUAUUGCAACACAAAAUUUGAAAAAUAUGGCUGAUUUACUAUGUGGUAUAUAGAUUUAAAAAAAGUGCAACAGGUCAGUUUUGGUCAACACGGUCAAAUAAUUUUGUUGCACAAGUCGCAAGAGGUAUCAAAACUACUGAAAUUUGUUACGUAUCAAUAUUUGAAUAAAAGGAGGACAUAUGCUGGCACCCUAAAUUGUGCAACAAAAAAUUGUUGUUAUUGUUAUAGCAAUAUUGCUGUCCAUUGUAAUAUACAUUGAUCCUGACAUAACAAAUAUGGCUGAUUUACUAUGCUGGUAUAUAGAUUUACAAAUUAAAGUGCAAUAUGGUCAGUUUUAGUUGAUGCAGUCAAAUAAUUUUGUUGUAAGUCAGUAUGAGGUCAAAACUACUGAAAUUUUAAAAGAGGACAUGCUGGCCCUAAAUUUAUGCGAACAAAAAUUUGAAAAUAUGGCUGAUUUACUAUGGUAUAUAGAUUUAUAAAAAAGUGCACACAUGGUCAGUUGUCAACGCGGUCAAAUAAUUUUGUUGCACAAGUCAGCAAGAGGUAUCAAAACUACUGAAAUUUUGUUACGUAUCAAUAUUUUGAAUAAAAGGAGACACAUGCUGGUACCGUAAAUUUAUGCGCAACAAAAAUUUGAAAAAAUAUGGCUGUUUACUAUGCAGGUAUAUAGAUUUAUAAAUAAAAUGCACACAUGUCAGUUUUUGGUUCAAAUAAUUUUGUACAAGUCAGCAUGAGGUAUCAAACGUAACUAAAUUUUUUUAUGCAUAAAUAUUUUGAAUAAAGGAGGACCUGCUGGCACCCUAAAUGUAUGGGAACAAAAAAUUUGUAGUCAUGUGUUAAAAUGGAUGCUUUCUCUAAAAUACGUCCUUUCAUAGAUUAACAUAUAAAUAAAGUGCAAAUAUGGUUGAAUUUGAUAGGUAUUGGAAUAUUUUUUUCAGUGCCCGUUAUCAUUGUAACCAAGAUCUUUUUUUUUAUUUAUAGAUUGGCAGAUCACAGAUAAAUUUGUGUUUCAAGCGACGUUUUAUGCGAACUUUAUUUUCAAAUAUUUGUAUUAAAUCCUGUUUAUAUAACGGAAGUAUUAGUUUUAUUUAUUUCGUGUUUUAUACUACAAACAAAGAUAAUUAAAAAUUUUUUUAAAAAUCGAUGUAGACGGUCCUUGGUUACAAGUUACUUAGUGUUGAGCAGACAGUCAAAGUAAUUGGGAACAGUCUGGUUCGAUCGGAAUUGUCAAAGCAAAAAUUAACUUUGUGCAGGGACGUCUCGAAGUUAACUUAUGUUAACUUAUGGCAGACUGGUUUCGAAGUUAACUUAUGUUAACUUUACGCAGGACUGGUUCGAAUUAACUUAUUAAUAGCGACAUGUUCGAAGUUAACUUUUUGGCAGACAAUAAAAAGUCCUAGGACCAAGUCCGCUUUUCAAGUAACUAGAUUUAGUCCUAGGAACUGGUCAGAGCAGUCCUAAAUUUUGUCACAGGUUUACUUUGACCAGUCCAAUGACUGGUUAUCAAGUUAACUUGAUGUACAGGUUAGGACUGCACCCAUCUGUAUAUCCAAUUUUUAGAAAUUUACCUGUGACGUCACUUUUGUGGCACUGUUAUUCCGUGUGACGGACAGUUCGUAAUUAUGUUUUGCUGUUUUUGUGUACUGCCUUAACUUAUUUUACAUGUUCGUUGUUAUUUUGUGGUUUACAUGUUGAUAUAUACUAAAAUAAUAGUACUCUCAAUUUAUGCAGACAAAAUUUUGUAGUUAUUGUGUUCCAGUAUUGCUGUCAUUUGUACUAAACAUCAAAUCCUGACAUAAAAAUAUUACUGAUUUACUACGCGGCUAUACAAAUUUACAUAAAAAAGUGCAAAUAUGGCCACUUUUUUGUUGAUGCGGUCAAAUAAUUUUGCUAUACAAGUCAGCCUGAGUUAUAAAAAAUAUUGCAAUUUUGUUACGUAUCAAUAUAUCAUGUAUAUUGAACAAGGAGAAGACACGCUGACACUCUAAAUUCAUGCGGACAAAAUUUGUAAUUAUUGUGUGCCAAUAUUGCUGCCAUUUGUAUUAUACAUUUUAUCCUGAUCUGGAAAUAUAUGAUUUACUAUGCGGCUAUAUAGAUUUACAUGAUAAAGUACACAUUUAUGCAGACAAAAUUUUGAACUUAUUGUGUUCCAAUACUGCUGUCAUUUGUAUUAUACAUUAAAUCCUGACAUAAAAGUAUUGCUUAUUUACUAUGCAGCUAUAUAGAUUACAAAAUAUAGUGCAAUAAUGGUAAUUUUUUAUUCCUUCGAACGAAUGCUUUUGUUAUAGGUGUCUGCCUGAGGUAUCAAAAGUGCUGCAAUUUUGAUGCAAGACACUAUUUUGAUUAAAAGAGGGACGAAAUAUACCAAAGGGACAGUCAAACUCUAAAAUCUAAAACAAACUGACAACGCCAUGGCAAAAAAUGAAAAAGACAAACAAACAACAGCACACACGACACAACAUAGAAAACUAAAGAAUAAACAACACGAACCCCACCAAAAAACUAGGGGUGACAGGUGCUAAGGGUAAAGCAGAUCCUGGUUCCACAUUGCACCCGUCGUGUUGCUUAUGUUAUAACAAAUCCGGAAAAUAGUCUAAUUCGGUAUGUCACAUUCAUGAAAGGGAAGGGGAUUGUAGUUACGACGUAAGGAACAUAUCCGAUAUCAUUUGUGAAACGGUUAUAUCAUAACGGUAACCAACUCUGAUGGCGUCCGUAAAAUUUACGAAAGGGAUGAUUUCAACUUCACCAUUUGGAACUCUUGGUUUAAUAGUUCCUUGUGAGCAGUAACCAUCUAUCAAGAAAAUCAUGAUAGGAAAUGCAAGCACGGAAAUAUCGUAUCAAUUGGAAGAUAUAUACCCCGUAUGCAGGUGGUGCUGGAAUGUUGCUACUUAGAAAUGGAAAGUUCACAAUUGGAAAGCUGAAAUCAUCAUCAUUGAUUAAAAAGAGUACAUGCUGGCACUCUAAAUUUAUGCGAACAAAAUUUUGUAGUCCUUGUGUUCUAAUAUUGCUGUUUUUUGUUGUAUUCAUCCUGACAUAAAAUACAAUUUAAAUAUUAUGCCGAUAUAUAAAUUCACAUAAUUAAGUGCAAAUAUAGUUUGCUAUGGUUGAUGUGGUCAAAUAAUUCUGUUGUACGAGUCUGCUUGAGGUAUCAGAACUGCUUUUGAAAUUUUGUUGUGAGACAAUAAGUUACACAAAAAAGGGCAUGCUGGCAAUCUUAAUUGAUGAGAAGUUAUUGUUAGAGUUAUUGUGUUCCAGUAUUGCUGGCAUUUGAUUUAUACAAUACAUUCUGACAUUAAAUAUUACUGAAUUAGUAUGCAGCUAUUAAACGUUACAUAGUGUGUAAGUGACCUAUAUCGAUAUAUACAGGGUUCGUAAAAUCCAUAUGGGGUGCGAGCAAACCUCAAACCCCAUAUGAAAUUUGCUAACCCCGUAUAUAUCGUUUUAGGUCACUAGCACACUGUGUAACGAAUUUAUCUUACCGACUAUCUUUGUUUGUUGAAUUCAGACAAUCAUACCACAUCUUCUUUUUUUUAUAUUAAAGUGUUCAAGUGUUAAGUUUUAAUAAGAUACUUCCAUUGGUCUACACAAGAAACUAAUGGCAACACUAAAAAUUUGAUAUAAAAUAUUAAACAGAACUUUAAAAUCAAAUUAAGAAUGGAUAUGGGGAAUGUAUCAUAGUGACAACAACCCGACCAAAGAGCAGACAACAGCCGAAGGCCACCAAUGAGUCAUCAAUACAUUUAAAGAAAGCAAAUAGUGCCAAAGUCGUUACUCCACUACUAACAGUGUAUUGAAAUACGCCCGCCUCCCUAUUAACCUAAUAUAAAAUAUAAACGGUCCCUACGUGGACGCUUUGAGCCAAUCAUAUUCCUAGAAAUUAUUAGAAGAUAUAAUGAAUAGAUUUAUAUGACAAAGUGCAAAUAUGAUAAGUUCUGAUCGAUUUGGUCAACUAAUUUUGUUGUAAGAGUCAGCAUGGGUUAUCAAAAUACUGAUUUUGUUUUAACGUAUUAAUAAAGUAAACAAAACAAAGACAUGCUGGCACUCUAGGUUUAUGUGGACAAAUUUUGUAGUCAUCGUGUUGCUGUCAGUUGUAUUAUAUACUCCAUCCUGACAUAUACAUAUAGCUAUUACUAUGCGGCUAUAUGGAUUUACAAGAUAGCGUGCAAAUAUGGUUUAAUCCAAUUAAAUCAUUUCGUAUACAUUCAAUAAUUUAUUAAUUAUAGAAACAUUUGAGAAAGGCAGAUCAUGGAUAAAUUGUAUAAAAAGCAAAGUUUCAAGCGUAUUUUAUUUAACAAAUCUAUGUAUUUAAUCGUGUUCAUAAUACGGAAGUAUCAAUAUUACUUAAUUUUUCUAUGUUUAAUUACAAGACACAAAGAUAUUAAAACAUAUUUUUAAAAAUCGAUGUAUAGUGGUCCUGAUUACCAUUCAAUGAGAAGACUAAUCAAAAGUUAACUUAAAAUCAGGUCUGGUCCGAUCAGCGUAGUCAAAACCAACGUUAGCUUACGUUACCUUAUGUAUAGCAUGAUUGGACAGGUUUCGAAGUUAACUUAUAUAAAUUUAUGAUAUAGCAGGACUUCUCGAAGUUAACUUAUAUCAGUAGUGGACUUGUUUCCAAGUUAACUUUCUUGGCAGACAUAAAAACCGCCCUAGGACUGAGUCUGCUUUUCAUGUUAACUAGAUUGUGGUCCUAGGACUGGUCAGAACAUCCAUUAAUCGUGUAACAGGUUAUUUUUUACCAGUCCAAAUGACUGGUUCCCAAGUUGACUGGCUGUAUAGGUUGGGACUGUACCCAUCUGUACAGUCAUGAAAAAUUCAUGAAAAAUAUAAGCCUGAUUUGCUCUUUCUCUUUCUUCUCCAAAAUCCAUUCUAACAUAAAUUUUACUUUUAAUUGAAAAUAAAAAGAUAGGAAAAAAACAAAUUUCUAAAUAGGUCAAUCCGGCUUAUCCUUUAAAACUACUGGAAAUAAAUAUCCUUUUAGCAACAUGAUACGUUCGUUGCAUCAUACAGCAACAUAUGUGCCUAACUCCUUUUCUUUAGGACACAUCACCAUUUAUCGUGCAGUACACUCAAAAUCAGUGAUAUUGUCAUGGAAAUUUACAAAUACAAUUAUUACAUGAAUUCUUUAGAAGAUAUUUCGUAAUCUACAUGUACACCUUAGCGUUCCAUGGGAAAUGAGUUAACAUACUACAGAACGUAUAUCAUAUACAGAAUGGUCUAGUAAAUGCCAUUACUAUACAACAAUUUAUAGUGUUCGAUAUAAAAAAAAAAGAGGAAGAUAAAUGUCAUUCAACAAACGAUCAAAAUGUUUACAGUUAUCUAGGCAUCAGAAUUGUAUGACACUUCCCCUGGCAUACAUAUUUAAAAUUGAGAUAGCCCCCAUUUUCAUUCGUGGCCGAUUUGUAAUACCUCCGAAUAACACUUGCUAGUGUCUUAUCUCGGUGAAACGGCCAUAUUUAGUGGAAUCUGCCGACUUGGAAUGUUAGUUUAUUGUAAAAUGUUCAAAAACAGAGUUUAGUUUCCUAUACACUAGUUUAUUUUAUAUCUUGCAAUGUGUUCAGCAGACCAUGAAAACAAAAUUGCAUUCGUUUGUAAUAUUGAACGUAUAAAUAUUAAAAAAAAAACAGUUAGUGAAAAGAUAUAUUUCACUUCAAGUCUUGUUUUUAAUUAAAUUUUUAAAUGUUGUUUUUUUUAAUUUUUUUUACUUCUUAAAAAGAUUGUUGCAUAUACAUUACAAUCAAUAGAGUUGUUCAUAGGAUAUCAUGCUACAACACUGUUAAUAAGUAUUAUUGGAAACAUGAUACUUUCAACAGUUAUAUUGUGGGUACAUGUAGUACGGAAGGAAAGCAUUAUACGGUGUUUUGAUCAAAUUUGAUUAUUUAUUGUAUACGUUUUACGUUCAAUUUUUGGCAAAAAGUUAUAACAGAAACGAAUGCAUUCACUGUUUUUGAUGUAUGAGUUGUGACAUACAUUCAGUUAUAUCGACGUUGCACAUAACGGAGUUAAUCUUAAAAUAGUUAAAUGACAUUUUGUCUGUUUAGUUCACGCAUCGUUGUAAAUAUAACGGAAUUUGAUGAGACUGCCUUCAAAGUGAGAGGGUUAGCACUGUUAAACCAGGUUUAAUCCAUUUUCUACAUUUGAAAAUGCCUGUACCAAGUCAGGAAUAUGACAAUUCUUGUCCAUUCGUUUUCUAUGUGUUUUUUUUAUUUUUUAUUUUGCCAUGUGAUUAUGGACUUUCCGAAUUGAUUUUCCUCUAAGUUCAGUACUUUUGUGAUUUUACUUUUUGAUGUAAUUUUUCACCUCAGUACAAAAAGAGGAAUCGAGAAUGUUUGUAAUAAUGCGACUUUUCUUUAUUGUUUCUAAACUGAUAUUUGUGAAGAUUGACAAAAUACUUUCAGUUUGCAUUCGAAUACUAAAACUCAUCUAGUAAAAAACUGACCUCAUACAAAUUUAGGAUAUCAAUUGAUUUAUUCAAAGAAACAUUAAAUCUAUAGCGCGUAUUUUUUUGUUAUAAAAACUUUAAUUGCAAAAAGUUAAACAUUAAAAAGACCCUAAAUUAAUAUUGAACGAACAAGAUUGAGAUGAAGAACAACGAGCAAGUGUUGUUGUUGUAUUUUCUAAAAUAUAAGUCCUUCUUUUCAUCAUGAAAUGAUUAAAAGUUGUUAUAGAGUUGUCUCUCUUUGACUGUUGUUUAUUGUAAUUCACAAUUGCCAAGAUUAAAACACUUCUGACUUUCUGUAUUCUAUACUCAUAUUGACAUAGUGUCGUAAAACCCCUGGUAGUUAAACACGAUUACACCACCACCUUCCAUUGAGAGUGACCGGGGACAACACUCGUAUUACCAAUGCUCCAGUUAUUAGUGCCACACCUGUUGGUAGUUGGAUGCCUCCCUUUUAUAAGAUGCUGCAGAGGAGGUCCCAGAGUUACCCAUCUGUAGACCCCAAUGUUAUCUCUAACCACAUUUUCCAAAGCUGUAAAUUGUAGAACUUGUCAGGCAAUGAGAAAGGGCCGAUUGAAAUAAUCUCCCAAUCACUACCAGUUUCCCUGACUCUGCGCCUAAGGAUGGCAGAAGAAAUAAUUUUCCUUUCUUUCUAAUUAAUACAAUUAGUAAUUAAAAUAAACUUAUAUUCUUCUGACUGCUUAAAUUACAAUAGUCCAUAUGUGCAUAAAGUGUUGAAUGAUGGAAAUGUCAAAAUCGAAGAAACGCGAAUUUACUCCAAACAAUCCUGUAUUGGUCUAAUACCAUGGAGGAACUGCUUGGAUACUGGUGUCUAUAAUAUUACAACCAAUUACAGCAAACUAGUGCCUGAAAAUAUAAAAUUAAAACAGCAGCAACUAUUCUCAUUUUGGGAGGGUGGGCGGGAUUUAAAUAAUUAAACUAUUUUCUGAAGCACCUACUUCGUUGUCGACAGCCAAUUAACAAUUGCCCGAUACGGGAAUUCCAAAAUUUAAAUUACACGUGAAAGCACCAUCUUUGGCCAUGCCAAAUAUUGCAUUGAGAUAAAGGCUGCAACACCCAUACAAAUAUUUGAUUGAAUUAGACAAGAGUAUUGAAAAUAUAAAAAUUUCAUAAUAUCUAUUAUGAUAAAAUUAAACACUUUUUAAAAGGAAUUUAUCGUUUUUAACUCUACCAAUUUACUAAGAAACAACUGAAAGUACGCAGGACUUUUCGAAUAUGUUUUGAGAGUGUCUUGGUCCAGUUUAUUCACCAAUAAAAUCCUUUAAAAGGCGUUUAUUACUUAUAAUUUGUACAGUCUAACACACAUUAAUCGUUUAAAUGUGGCAUUUAAUUGAUCUUGAGCAUGCAAAUAUUUUUGGUUUACGGAAAAGUAUGUAAUCCUUGAACUUUUCAAUUGUAUAAAAAUAAAAAAAUAAAACUCUUAUUAUUAUUUAAAUACAUUUUUUGUCUGUACUAUCUAAUUUAACGUCUAAUGCAAAAAGAAAAAAAAUAUUUUGGUCGCGCCAGAUUGUGUUAUUAUCCCUGCUAUAUUGUUUAUAUUUGUUACAAAAAGAAGUUCAGUACACGUCGUCUAUCGAAAAAAAUAUAAAAAGUCAAAUAUAGCAAUGUGGAAGUCUUCUUGACCAAUCAUAUCAACGUAUUCUCUAGUAUGCAAAUCAUAUAAUUAUUAUCAACUUUUAUUUUCAAUCAUUUAACAAUACAAUGUGUCGAGGAAUCAGCAUGAAAGAGAAAGAAUAUGUGUUGUGUCAUUAAAAAUAAAUAUUAUCAAUAAUCUAAAAACAGAGGUGUUCGCAGGUGCUCCAGAAGAUAAAGCAGAUUUUGCUCCACAAGUGUCACCCAUAGGGUUUCUCAUCUAAGUACAAACGCUUAUAUAGAAAAUGCAAGCUGUGGGAUAAUAUAACAAUUGGGAUAUAUAACUUGUGGUUUUUGUUCGAUCUUAUCCGUAUCAUAUAUAUAUCUGAUAUCUGUAGAUGACAUUUUCAUGUGUCAGCUAAAAUACAAAACACUGCUACAAUAAACUUACACUACAUCAUGAUUAACACUGAUGUUGUCAUCAACAGUUGUAACCAUGUACGAAACUACUUUUUUCUGAAUGUUAAUUACUUACCAUUGUAAAUCUAGAACUCUCAUAAAGUCAUUUUCCAUCUUUACAAUUUCAUUCUUCCCAAGAAAUUUGACGGUUCUGACAGUUUUGAAUAUUCUUCUAAUUAUUAUUACUUUAAAUUGCUUCAUGUUAUGUGUUUUAUCUUUAGCCUUUUAUAGACAAUAAUAAAGAACAAGGCGCCGGUCGCAAUGAUACCACUGCAGAAUUACAAACAAUAUGUUCUACGCAUAUUGAUGCUUCUGUGGUCUACAACACUAUAUGUUUGUCAAAGUAAGUGUAAUUAUCAUUAAACAUAAAAUAUUAAAGCGAUAAUAUGUCACCGAUGUUAAAUUCUAACUGAAACGUAAACGCCAUUCGAUGUAGCAGAGGGCUUGUUACUUCUGCGAAGUUGAAAGUUGAUAUUUUGGUACUUAAAAUAAUCACGUUUGUGAUAGAUUCUUAUUUGAAGUUGUCCAUCAACAAUCCCGUAAAUAUAAUCAUAUUUCUAUUUUGUUAUAAAUUCAUUAAAUCCCAAC
RNAcentral lists this long non-coding RNA (18932 nucleotides) under Mytilus galloprovincialis (Mediterranean mussel). The record is from RNAcentral. Lineage: Eukaryota; Metazoa; Mollusca; Bivalvia; Mytilida; Mytilidae.